This 380-nucleotide ribosomal RNA is filed under the name Dokdonella sp. RNAcentral's name for it is "Bacterial small subunit ribosomal RNA". It matches the Rfam family "Bacterial small subunit ribosomal RNA", at positions 1 to 383 of the family's 1533-position model. The record is from Rfam by way of RNAcentral. Lineage: Bacteria; Pseudomonadati; Pseudomonadota; Gammaproteobacteria; Lysobacterales; Rhodanobacteraceae.
CAACUGAAGAGUUUGAUCCUGGCUCAGAGUGAACGCUGGCGGCAGGCCUAACACAUGCAAGUCGAGCGGCAGCGCGGGGGCAACCCUGGCGGCGAGCGGCGGACGGGUGAGGAAUACAUCGGAAUCUGCCUUAUUGUGGGGGAUAACGUAGGGAAACUUACGCUAAUACCGCAUAAGACCGAAAGGUGAAAGUGGGGGACCGCAAGGCCUCACGCGAUAAGAUGAGCCGAUGUCGGAUUAGCUAGUUGGUGAGGUAAUGGCUCACCAAGGCGACGAUCCGUAGCUGGUCUGAGAGGAUGAUCAGCCACACUGGAACUGAGACACGGUCCAGACUCCUACGGGAGGCAGCAGUGGGGAAUAUUGGACAAUGGGCGCAAGCC